UACGGAGGAUGCAAGCGUUAUCCGGAUUUAUUGGGUUUAAAGGGUGCGCAGGCGGCGCGUUAAGUCAGCGGUGAAAUGUCAUGGCUCAACCAUGUCCCUGCCGUUGAUACUGCCGUGCUAGAGUAUGGACGGCGCCGGCGGAAUGUGUCAUGUAGCGGUGAAAUGCUUAGAUAUGCCACAGAACACCGAUCGCGAAGGCAGCUGGCGAGGCCGGAACUGACGCUCAGGCACGAAAGCGUGGUGAUCAAAC
This 250-nucleotide ribosomal RNA is filed under the name uncultured prokaryote. RNAcentral's name for it is "partial 16S ribosomal RNA". It matches the Rfam family "Bacterial small subunit ribosomal RNA", at positions 524 to 773 of the family's 1533-position model. The record is from RNAcentral.